This 281-nucleotide long non-coding RNA is filed under the name Arachis ipaensis. RNAcentral's name for it is "long non-coding RNA (AIPA_LNC000148)". The record is from RNAcentral. Lineage: Eukaryota; Viridiplantae; Streptophyta; Magnoliopsida; Fabales; Fabaceae.
AAAAAUGCACGGUGAGGGGAGAGAGACAGAGAGUGAUGAAGAGAAGAAAAGAAAGGGAGAACUUCCAUCAAAGGAGGAAGAAGAGAAAGAAGGAGAAGAAGACGACGGAGAGAGAAGUUGCCACCGCCACUUUCUUCACCUCCAGCACCGUCUCUGCCUUGCGCUGUUGUUGUUGUUUCUACCUUGCGCUGCCAGAUCUGCCACUACUGUAAUCCCUCUUCUCUGCUCGCCGUUGUCGUGUUUCUCAUUGCUCGAGCUCAUGCCUUGUUCUGCUCUGCUCC